GCUAAAAAUCUAACCCCACUUUAUGUUAUGCUAUAUGUAAACUUUAAUCAUUUAAUUAAAACAUUUUUACAACUUAGUAGAGGCGAUCAAAAAAUUAAUUGGAGUUAUAAAUUAUGUACCGCAAGGGAAAGAUGAAAUAAAAAUGAAAACAUCAAGCACAAAAAAGUAAAGAUUAAGUCUUGUACCUUUUGCAUCAUGGUUUAACUAGCUUACCCUAGCGAAACGAUUUUAAGUCAGACUCCCCGAAACUAAGUGAGCUACUUCAAGGCAGCUUAAUGAGCAUAUCCGUCUCUGUUGCAAAAGAGUGGUGGGACCUUCAAGUAGAGGUGACAGACCUAACGAACUUAGUGAUAGCUGGUUGCUCGAGAAAAGGAUUUUAGUCCCGCCCAAAGCAAACAUUAUUAUUUUUUUAAACAAAAUUUUUAGCUUUAGAGUAAUUCAAUUAAGGUACAGCCUAUUUGAAACAGGAUACAACCUUGCCUAAUGGGUAAAUAACAUGCUACAUCUUUAAGUAGGCCUAAAAGCAGCCACCUUUUAAAAAGCGUCAAAGCUUCGCUAUGUUAAUAUUCAAUACCAACCUCACAAAUUAACCCUUUAUCGUCAUUGAGCAAAUCUAUACAUCUAUAGAAACUUUUAUGUUAAAACUAGUAACAAGAAUUAGAUUUUCUCUUUAUGUAAGCUUAAAUCAGAAUGGACACACCACUGAUAAUUAACACCUAUGAAUCGAAAGUAGCAACCCAACAAGAAAACUCUUCUGUACUCAAUGUUAAUCUAACACAAGCACAUAUUAAGAAAGAUUAAAAGAAAAAGAAGGAACUCGGCAAAUAUUAACCUCGCCUGUUUACCAAAAACAUCGCCUCUCGUAGAAUUUGAGAGGUCCAGCCUGCCCAGUGACCUUGUUCAACGGCCGCGGUAUCCUAACCGUGCGAAGGUAGCGUAAUCACUUGUUCUUUAAAUAAGGACUAGUAUGAAUGGCACCACGAGGGUUAUACUGUCUCCUUUCUCUAAUCAGUGAAACUAAUCUUUCCGUGAAGAAGCGGGAAUUAUCCUAUAAGACGAGAAGACCCUAUGGAGCUUUAAACUAAUAACACCUGCUAAUUUAAAUAUUUAUUCUGAUUUUUAACCUAUAUUCUAGCACAAUGAUUAAGAGUUUUAGGUUGGGGUGACCGCGGAGUAAAAAUUAACCUCCACAUUGAAUUAGAGCAUAUCUAAGCAAAAAACCACAUCUUUAAGCAUCAACAAACUGACAUUUAUUGACCCAAUAAUUUGAUCAACGAACCAAGUUACCCUAGGGAUAACAGCGCAAUCCACUUUGAGAGCUCUUAUCGACAAGUGGGCUUACGACCUCGAUGUUGGAUCAGGGUACCCCAGUGGUGUAGCCGCUACUAAAGGUUCGUUUGUUCAACGAUUAAAACCCUACGUGAUCUGAGUUCAGACCGGAGUAAUCCAGGUCAGUUUCUAUCUAUAAGGGGAUUUUUCUAGUACGAAAGGACCGAAGAAACAUGGCCUAUGUAAAAUACAAGCCAUUAUUACUAAUUUAUGAAAUAAACUUAAUUGAUUUGUAACCCAUAUCUUAAGCUUAAAACCAAAGCAG
Molecule: ribosomal RNA, 1594 nt
Filed under: Hylodes meridionalis (Rio Grande tree toad)
Lineage: Eukaryota; Metazoa; Chordata; Amphibia; Anura; Hylodidae
Description: 16S ribosomal RNA
Rfam family: Bacterial large subunit ribosomal RNA
Source: RNAcentral